UUUUAACUAAUGCUACGUACACUUCUUCCUUCAACAAACCGCCUAGAAUAAUUUGUGUGUGUUUGUUUUUUUUUUCUUUGAAGCGCAAGAGGUUAUGGGGGAAACAUUUUGGUCAGCAGAGACACUUGUUCUGGGAACAUUAUUUUGGACUGCAAAGCCACGUGGGAGCUACGUUUAGAUUACCAAUAUUAUAACUACAAGCACCAUUCUGGUAGCCUCAUAGUUAUAGACUCUCAAAAUGGUGAUCUUUUGCUUAGGGAGAUCUCAACUGAAAACCUUAUUGUACUCCCUGCUGAUGGAUGUUCCUGUCAUCUACCAUUGUCUGCUACUAGUUGUUGGCAAAUGCAGCCACAACAACAUUGUACCAAUUGUGUAGUUUAUAAUUCUCAGUAUUUUGUGUU
This is a long non-coding RNA of Panicum virgatum (switchgrass), 401 nucleotides long. RefSeq lists it as uncharacterized. Lineage: Eukaryota; Viridiplantae; Streptophyta; Magnoliopsida; Poales; Poaceae. The transcript is spliced from 2 exons. The record is from RefSeq and is a predicted model, not a curated record.